AGUGGCAGACGGGUGAGUAACGCGUGGGAACGUACCUUUUGGUUCGGAACAACUGAGGGAAACUUCAGCUAAUACCGGAUAAGCCCUUACGGGGAAAGAUUUAUCGCCGAAAGAUCGGCCCGCGUCUGAUUAGCUAGUUGGUGAGGUAAUGGCUCACCAAGGCGACGAUCAGUAGCUGGUCUGAGAGGAUGAUCAGCCACAUUGGGACUGAGACACGGCCCAAACUCCUACGGGAGGCAGCAGUGGGGAAUAUUGGACAAUGGGGGCAACCCUGAUCCAGCCAUGCCGCGUGAGUGAUGAAGGCCCUAGGGUUGUAAAGCUCUUUUGUGCGGGAAGAUAAUGACGGUACCGCAAGAAUAAGCCCCGGCUAACUUCGUGCCAGCAGCCGCGGUAAUACGAAGGGGGCUAGCGUUGCUCGGAAUCACUGGGCGUAAAGGGUGCGUAGGCGGGUUUCUAAGUCAGAGGUGAAAGCCUGGAGCUCAACUCCAGAACUGCCUUUGAUACUGGAAGUCUUGAGUAUGGCAGAGGUGAGUGGAACUGCGAGUGUAGAGGUGAAAUUCGUAGAUAUUCGCAAGAACACCAGUGGCGAAGGCGGCUCACUGGGCCAUUACUGACGCUGAGGCACGAAAGCGUGGGGAGCA
RNAcentral lists this ribosomal RNA (641 nucleotides) under Rhodopseudomonas sp. JA902. RNAcentral describes it as "bacterial SSU rRNA". It matches the Rfam family "Bacterial small subunit ribosomal RNA", at positions 94 to 770 of the family's 1533-position model. The record is from RNAcentral. Lineage: Bacteria; Pseudomonadati; Pseudomonadota; Alphaproteobacteria; Hyphomicrobiales; Nitrobacteraceae.